CCUACGGGGGGCAGCAGUGGGGGAUAUUGCACAAUGGGCGCAAGCCUGAUGCAGCGACGCCGCGUGAGCGAAGAAGUAUUUCGGUAUGUAAAGCUCUAUCAGCAGGGAAGAAAAUGACGGUACCUGACUAAGAAGCCCCGGCUAACUACGUGCCAGCAGCCGCGGUAAUACGUAGGGGGCAAGCGUUAUCCGGAUUUACUGGGUGUAAAGGGAGCGUAGACGGCAGCGCAAGUCUGGAGUGAAAUGCCGGGGCCCAACCCCGGAACUGCUCUGGAAACUGUGAAGCUGGCGUGCAGGAGAGGUAG
This 305-nucleotide ribosomal RNA is filed under the name uncultured bacterium. RNAcentral's name for it is "bacterial SSU rRNA". It matches the Rfam family "Bacterial small subunit ribosomal RNA", at positions 338 to 660 of the family's 1533-position model. The record is from RNAcentral.